UACGGAGGGUGCAAGCGUUAAUCGGAAUUACUGGGCGUAAAGCGCACGCAGGUGGCUGAGUCAGUCGAUUGUGAAAGCCCUGGGCUUAACCUGGGAAUUGCAGUCGAUACUACUUAGCUAGAGUAUGGGAGAGGGCAGUGGAAUUCCCGGUGUAGCGGUGAAAUGCGUAGAUAUCGGGAGGAACAUCAGUGGCGAAGGCGGCCCUCUGGUCCAGUACUGACACUCAAGUGCGAAAGCGUGGGGAGCAAACAGG
This 253-nucleotide ribosomal RNA is filed under the name uncultured bacterium. RNAcentral's name for it is "partial 16S ribosomal RNA". It matches the Rfam family "Bacterial small subunit ribosomal RNA", at positions 524 to 776 of the family's 1533-position model. The record is from RNAcentral.